Molecule: ribosomal RNA, 470 nt
Filed under: uncultured bacterium
Lineage: Bacteria
Description: bacterial SSU rRNA
Rfam family: Bacterial small subunit ribosomal RNA
Source: RNAcentral
GACGAACGCUGGCGGCGUGCCUAACACAUGCAAGUCGAGCGGGGUUGAAGCGAGGGGUAACUCGAGUUUCUACCUAGCGGCGGACGGGUGAGUAACGCGUGGGCAACCUGCCUCAAGGACUGGGAUAACAGCUCGAAAGGGCUGCUAAUACCGGAUAUGCCUGUGGCCUCGCAUGGGGCUAUGAGCAAAGGGGAAACCCGCCUUGAGAUGGGCCCGCGUCCCAUCAGCUAGUUGGUGAGGUGAAGGCUCACCAAGGCGACGACGGGUAGCCGGCCUGAGAGGGUGACCGGCCACACUGGGACUGAGACACGGCCCAGACUCCUACGGGGGCAGCAGUGGGGAAUCUUGCACAAUGGGCGAAAGCCUGAUGCAGCGACGCCGCGUGGAGGACGAAGCCCUUCGGGUGUAAACUCCUUUUCUCAGGGAAAAGGAUGAUGGUACCUGAGGAAUAAGCCCCGGCUAACUACGUG